Molecule: long non-coding RNA, 339 nt
Organism: Aquila chrysaetos chrysaetos
Lineage: Eukaryota; Metazoa; Chordata; Aves; Accipitriformes; Accipitridae
Exons: 3
Source: RefSeq, a predicted model, not a curated record
GGCGCCGGGCCGCCGCGGCCGGGAGGAGGGCAGGCCGCAGAUCGGGAAACGCCGCCCCGCGGUGAUGGAGAAACUUGGGAAAGAUGUGACCGAUGUUUGCCAGCAAAUGAAAAAAUUUUCAGUGCAAUACUGCUGUACCAUCAUGUCCUCCAUGGAGAUACGUGUGAAAAUGAGCUUAUGCUGACAAAGUGAAAAGCCUGAAAAUGUGACAUACUCUGCAAGCCUGUUUCUGCUCUUGCUACAACAUUGCAGCGCUUUGCAGCUGAUUGCAUUAAAGGCUUGGGCUUUGCAAGAGGAGGUAAGAAAACACAGAAUUUUAAAUUGCACCUCCUGCAACUC